This 64-nucleotide transfer RNA is filed under the name Cryptolestes turcicus. Its description in RNAcentral is "tRNA-His". Lineage: Eukaryota; Metazoa; Arthropoda; Insecta; Coleoptera; Laemophloeidae. The record is from RNAcentral.
AUUUAAAUAGUUUAAUUAAAAUAUUGAUUUGUGGGGUCAAAGUUGUAAUUAUUUACUUUAAAUA